Molecule: ribosomal RNA, 301 nt
Filed under: uncultured bacterium
Lineage: Bacteria
Description: partial 16S ribosomal RNA
Rfam family: Bacterial small subunit ribosomal RNA
Source: RNAcentral
CAGCAGCCGCCACGGUAAUACGUAGGUGGCAAGCGUUGUCCGGAAUUAUUGGGCGUAAAGGGCUCGCAGGCGGUUUCUUAAGUCUGAUGUGAAAGCCCCCGGCUCAACCGGGGAGGGUCAUUGGAAACUGGGAAACUUGAGUGCAGAAGAGGAGAGUGGAAUUCCACGUGUAGCGGUGAAAUGCGUAGAGAUGUGGAGGAACACCAGUGGCGAAGGCGACUCUCUGGUCUGUAACUGACGCUGAGGAGCGAAAGCGUGGGGAGCGAACAGGAUUAGAUACCCGGGUAGUCCCUGUCUCUUU